AUUUAGUGUAUUGGGUUUUUAAUGGGUUAUCCGGCUAAGACCUAUUUAUUAUAUGGGUUUAGCUAAAAUAAAUGAUGAUCCUAAUAACCCAUUUAAGUUUUUUUCUUUAAUCAAAAACGUUGUCGUUUAAUUUUUAUAUACAGGUUUUCUAAUUAUAUCAAAAAAAAAAAAAAAAAUUUGUCUACUCUUUCUCUCCGCAGCGGAGACUCCGCCUAAUCUCAAUCUCUUCUACAAGCAUCGAAGGAUCAGUAAACGUUAAUGCUCUUCUUGUGUCGCUUUACUUCUUCAUCAUCACUGCAAGUUCCAGUUACAACAUGGAUCAGUUAAUAGACAUGAAUGAAGAAGUUGCUCUAGCUGAGAUAAAUUUAGAAGAUACACAACCACAAGCACAGCAAAGUGAAACUCAAGUAGGGGAAUCAACUCAAGCUCCACGCAAGAGACGUAAAACAUCGCCCGUUUGGGAAGACUUUGUGUCAGUGGGAGUAGAAGAAGAUGGCAAAGAAAGGGCCAAGUGUUUGCAUUGCGGUACGAAGUUAGUGACACGUAGUGAAACGAAUCACAGCUUUGGGACUCAUCAUCUUCAACGCCACUUGGAAACUUGUUCAAAGAAGCCUUUGAAGGAAGCUAAACCUGCAUAUGAUCAAAAGAUAGAUCGUGGUCUGAUUAGCGAGGUAAUCAUAUAUCAUGAUCUCCCUUUUAGAUAUGUAGAAUAUGAGAAGGUCCGAGAAUGAGACAAGUAUUUAAAUCCAGAGUUUCAGCCUAUUUGUAGACAGACCGCUGCUGCUGAUGUUUUUAGGAAGUAUGAAAUAGAAAGAAAAAAAGCUGAAAAAAGUGUUUGCUAGCCACCUUGGUCGGGUUUGCUUCACUUCUGAUCUAUGGACAUCUCGUCCUCAUAACUUAGGAUAUAUUUGUCUUACUGUGCACUUCAUUGAUUCAAUGAUGGUUGGAACUUGCAUAGUAAGAUUCUGGCUUUUUGUGAUUUUAAGCCGCCACACACAAGAGAAGAAAUCGCUAAUAAGAUUUUUGAGUGUAUGAUGGAAUGGAGUUUAGAUAAGAAGGUGUUCUCUAUUACCUUGGACAAUGCUACUAACAAUGAUAGUAUGCAGAGAAACCUCAAGGAAAAGCUUCAGAUGAUUAGUGGUUCUGGCUUGUUACGUGAUGGCAAAUUUUUGCAUAUAAGAUGCUGUGCUCACAUUCUGAAUUUGAUAGUAAAAGAAGGCUUAGAAUUAGCAAAGGAUUUUCUGUAUAACAUCAGGGAAAGUGUUAGAUACGUGAAGGCGUCUCAGACAAGAAUUCAAGUGUUUGCAGUGUGUGUAAAGCGAGUGAGGAGUGGAAGUGGAGCUGGUUUAUCACUGGAUGUUCCUACCAGGUGGAAUUCUACGUAUGAAAUGCUAGUUAGGGCAUUGAAGUUCAGGAAAGCAUUUGAAAACUUGGAUGUUGUUGACAGAAACUACCAUUCAUUACCUUCUGAACACUACAAGAAAAAUGGCUUUUCUUAGCGGCCGAAAAACGCUAUCUAAAGAUACCAUAGCGUUUUAACAAGCGUUAUAUCAUCGCCCGUUAUAAUAGGUCACACACUUUAGAUAGCGGUUUAUUGCAUUGCUAUCAUAUUACGAGAUAUAAUAGCGUUUUUCUCUAUGCAAUAAAAUAUUCUUUUAUAGCAUUUCAUUUAUGCUAUUAUUUACAUAAUUAUAAAUACAUAUAUUAAUUUUUAUUUUUAAUAUUAUAAUUGCAAUUAACUAAAUGCAAUUAUUUUUUAGUAUGCUUUUAUACGAAAUAGAAAUAAUAAUAAUAAUUUUAUUAAUAAAUUACAAAAAUGUUGUAUUACACUAAACCGAAGCAAAAAAAAAAUCUAAACUAAACCAAAGCAAAAACAAACUACACAGAAGUAAGAAAAACACUAAACCAAAACAGAAAAACCUAAAUAUAAAUCUAAACCGCCGCAUCACGUCUCGUCAUCAUCAUCCGGCGCAUCACGCGGUAUCUCCUUUGUCUUCACUCUCUGGUGAGCAGAAGCCGCUAGCAACGACGCCGUACCUCUCCUGUCUUCAAGCUCACGACAACCACCAACUCUGCUCACGACCCACCUUCCUAUACCAAAAAAUCAAAACAAAAUCAGAGAGAGAGAAAGAGAGAGAGGUCUAUGUUGUCGGAUGGCGAUGGUGGUGACGAGUGGUGGUGGUGGUGGUGGUGGUGGUGUCGGACGGCAUUGGUGGUGACCAGUGAUGGUUUCAAAAGGAGGAGGUGACGAGCUUCACCAUAAAGAAGAAGAUUGCAGAGGACCAGAGGUUAGGAGAGAUGAAGAGAUGAGAUUGUGGAAAGAUUGAUAAUUUAGUUUAAGAUCUAUGAGGAAUCGCAAAGGUCGUGAGCCGUGAAAAACAAAAAAAAAAUAAAGAGAUAAUGAGAAAAAAGAAUAAUAAUAUCCGUUAGAUUUAAGGUCUAUCAACGGUGGUGAUUAAUAUUAUAGUUAUCUUCACCAUUUUGAAUUGGCUCCUCCUAUUGGUCAAGGUUUUUCCUCUUUGUUUUUUUUCUUUGUUGUACACUAUUUCUUUAAUGUUUGGUAUAUUUAAUUGUUGUUUUUAUUUUGUGGUUGAUAAUCUAGUUAUUAUUAUAACUAGAGAUUUUUCCCGGGCUACGCCCGGGGUUUUCUCCUAUAUUAUAAUUUUAUUUAGUUUAUUAUGGAUUUUGGAUUUGACUAAAAAUUUUAUACUUAGACUGAAUGUGAUAUAUAAAUUAUUAAACAAAUUUGCAAUUAUUUGUAUUGAUUUUGUUGACUAAAUUUUAAAAUUAUUAAAAUUUAUCUGUUUUUCUUUCAAUAUAUCAAAAUACAUAUAAGUUGGUAACCAAACUGAAUUAAAAAAAAUUAGUUCAAAUUCAAUUAUUCUUUUAUCUUGUUUAUUUGAAUUUUAUGAAAAUAUGGUCAAAAUGAGCAUAUAAUUCGAACAUUUUUAACGUUAAAAUCAGCCAAUAUAUAUAUUAAAAUUUUAAUAUUGAUUAUUUAUUAUUUGGUGAUAAGAAAAUCUAUAUGAAUUUGUUAUUAAGUGUUAAGGCAGUGAAGAAAUGAAGAACAAUUGAAAUCUAAAAGUGAUGUACAUUGAAAGAAUCCUUAAAUUAUGUCAAAUACUUUUGUUUCCAUGCAGCAAAACAAAAUAUUAAAAAUUAAAAUUAUAAUAAUAUUCUCUAAGAGCUAUUUAUUGAAAAUUUAUCAUUUUAUGUGUAUUUGAACUAUUGCAUUUUAUACUAUAUUAUAUUUAAAAUUUUGUAUAACUAAUUUGCAUUUUUUUUGUUAUUUUGUUGGCAGUUUAGAUUAUCUUAAUUGAAAAAGACAUAAUUAUAUCGUAAAUGAAUGAAUAUGAAGAACACAAUUCUCAAAUAAUGCACUUAAAACAAUAUUAUAGAUUAAGUUGCUAAUGUGAAAUCAAUUUUUGAACAUCUACAACCAUUUUAAUAUGUUUGAUUGUGUAUCAUUGAAUCUAUUAAAUCAGAUUCUAAGAAUUUGUAAAGUAAAAUGAAUUAGAAAUAUAUAAAAUAUAUUCUAAAUUAAAUAAAUAUGAUAUUUAGUUAUUUUUGUCAUAAUAACGUAUUUAGUUCAUUUUUUAUAUUUAUUUAUUAUUUUUAAUUGUUAACUUAUGAUUGAUUGUUUUUCUUAUACUGGUAUCAUCUUUUCGUAUAAAAGUGUGACAUAUAUGUUAGGACAAAAUAGUAAUUGGUUGAUUAACUGUCGUUUCUUAUCAAAAGUCUAUUAAUUAUUUUUGGAUAUUUUUUGUUUAUUAAAAUAAAAUAUUGUUUAUAUAUUUUUUAUCAAUCGAUAUGUGAUAUUAUUUAACUAUGGUUGGAUGUAGUAAUCAUGAUUUUGUGUUUUUUUAUUAAAAUAGUUCAUGAUUUUAAUGGUUAUAUUUUAUGUUUGUCUGUGUUAGUUUUUUGAAUUUUGGUGUUUUGUUACAUAAUGUAAUAUUUUAUAGAGUUUAUGAGUGAAUGAUGUUGAAAUAAUCUAUAGAUUGGUGCGCUAUUCAUUAUUUUGUGUGUUGGCUGUGGUUAUUUUAGGGAGUGUAUGUUUUUGAUAGAUAAUAUGUAUAAAUAAUUAAUUUUCAACUUGGUUUUUAAGGAAUUGAUACAGCUAUUAAUCAGUUUUUCAUAUGUUGCUUAAUUUUAAUUCUAACUAUUUUUACCACUAUUUUCAAAUUUUUACAUUGAUUAAGUUUUUUAUUUAAUUCACAUAUUUAAUUUUUUGUGGUUUUAAAUAUAUUUAAACUAUGUUAAUUUGUGGAGAACUAAUUGUUGUUUUUGUUUAGUUUUGAUUUUUUUCUGCAAAGACUCAUAAUGGAUAUAUGAUUUUAUAUAUUUAUUGUUCACUUUUGUACAUACAUGGCUUUUAAGCAUCAUCGUAAAAUAAAAAAAAAUCAAUUAUGAGUUUAAUUUUAAUAAUUGUAAUAUUAAUAAAUAUAAUACUUUAAUUUUAAUUUAAUAUUACAAUAAUAUUUUAUGAAAUUUAAUGGACUUUAAAUAGUUUUUUGUUAGACAAUAAGAAACUAAAUAUUUAAGAAUUAUUUAUAAAAGUUUAUAAAUCCAACCCCACCCCUUAAAUACUAAACUCCAAACUCAAAUGUUAGGAUAUUUUUGAUUGAAAACGUUUUUGUAAAAUGGUAUUAUUUUAAGAAAUUUAACUUGUUUUUUAAUUGGUUAUUUUAAAUCAUAUGUAGAUACCAUUAAAUGCUUAUAGCCUAAAAAAAGUUCUUAAUAAACCUUGUAAUGAUCGGAAGUCAUGUGGAAAGUAAUAAAACAUUUUUCCACAAAACUCUUAACUUAUGUUGGGAGAUAGAUACGUUGAUCUCAAGAAACCUGCUAUGUCAGUUCAGCUCUGCAUUCCCAAGUGUAUUGAGGUUUUGAAAAUUAAAUCUAGACAUGGUUUCAAUGUUUACGAUUGACGAUGUACAAUUGCGCAGGCUUUGCUUGAUGUAAGAUGCCAAUGCGUGGAUGAUAUUUUCUGUGCAACUCCACAGGAUGUUUAAAUUCAAUUUAUGAAUCAAGUCACACUGGUAAAACUAAAUUGGGUCGUUCUAAUCUGUCUGUUAGUUGUGCUGUUUAAUAAUUCAUCUUACAACAUGAGGUACACUUAUCUUCAUUUUAAAGUCUUAAGAUUUAUACCUUCGGCUGUAAAAAAAAUUGAUACCAUCGAAACAAAAAAUUUGAAACCAAAACUAAACCGUAAUAAGAAAAUAACCAGAUUACGCUGGGUUCGGUGAGAACGGAAAGUACUACUUUAUUAUUGGACUCAUACUUAAAAUUCUAGAUAGCUAAUGGGACCGCAACCUCUGUUUAUAACUCAUAAACUCCUGCGUUGGAUCUCUUAAAUGCAAUGGGUCUUCUUGGGCAUCAGAAAUUUCUUGGGAGCAGAAGUUUGAGGAGCUUGUGUUGUUGGGUCCACCGGACUGUCUUGAUGAUUUCAGAGAAUCAAACAUAUAUAGCUAUAAAACGAACUAAGUGGACGAACCUGCGGUGGAGAGUUCAGUACGUAAUUGUUCAGUUCAGCAAGAGUAACUGUUUCAUUUUUUCGCACAUCUCCAUACUUGGAAGAUGUGAAGCUGUAACCAUCAUCAGAUCCAGAUAAACUACUAAAAAAAAUUAAUCCGUCUUUGGAGAACAGUGUGUAUCAGAUUUCAUAAACAACAGUUAGUAUGGAAUCUCUUACGCUGCUAGAAAACUCUGGCCGGUGAGACAUUCAUUGCCAAAAUAGAAGUGUGUUCCAGAAGUAGUAUCAGGAAAAGCCAACCUGCAAUACUCAACAUGAUCAAUCAUUUGUACCAAAACAGAGUUAAUCAGUAAUGAAGAUAAACACAAUGAAGCUUGCAAUAGUUUUACUCACAAGCCGUUUCUACAGCAGUGCUUCUAGUCCUUGAAAAUUCUGAACUUUCAGAAGCGUUAAAUAAGUCAUCGCGUUAAAUAAGCUGCGAUAAUAACCAAAAGAAGAAUUUUGAAGAUACGGGAAAGCCAAGAGAGAGAUGGAUACAACAUAAGUCCUUCACUGUUGCUUUGUAAAAAAGAGGACUGCAGGAGAGAGAUUAUACCUUUUCAACCUCUUCAUUUGGCAUAUCUGCAAUAAGAAGUCCAGCAUCACCAUAAAGCAGCUUAAAAAACAUUCCAAAACAUAUGCAAAAAC
Molecule: long non-coding RNA, 6157 nt
Organism: Brassica rapa (field mustard)
Lineage: Eukaryota; Viridiplantae; Streptophyta; Magnoliopsida; Brassicales; Brassicaceae
Source: RefSeq, a predicted model, not a curated record